UUGACGGGCCCGCACAAGCAGCGGAGCGUGUGGUUUAAUUCGAUGCUACACGAAGAACCUUACCAGGGUUUGACAUGCAAGUGGUAGGAACCGAAAGGCGACCGACCUUCGGGGAGCUUGCACAGGUGCUGCAUGGCUGUCGUCAGCCCGUGUCGUGAGAUGUUCGGUUAAGUCCGCUAACGAGCGCAACCCUCGCUGUGUGUUACAAGUGUCACACGGUACUGCCGGUCUUAAGCCGGAGGAAGGUGGGGAUGACGUCAAGUCAGCAUGGCCUUUAUGUCCUGGGCUACACACACGCUACAAUGGCCAACACAAUAGGUUGCUAAGCCGCGAGGUGGAGCCAAUCCUCAAAGUUGGUCUCAGUUCAGAUUGCAGGCUGCAACCCGCCUGCAUGAAGAUGGAGUUGCUAGUAACCGCAGGUCAGCUAUACUGCGGUGAAUACGUUCCCGGGGCUU
Molecule: ribosomal RNA, 455 nt
Filed under: uncultured Leptolinea sp.
Lineage: Bacteria; Bacillati; Chloroflexota; Anaerolineae; Anaerolineales; Anaerolineaceae
Description: bacterial SSU rRNA
Rfam family: Bacterial small subunit ribosomal RNA
Source: RNAcentral